GGGUGAGAGCGGCCGCGCCUCCCGUGUGAAGCCCCUUCGACGAGUCGAGUUGUUUGGGAAUGCAGCUCUAAAUGGGUGGUAAAUUUCAUCUAAAGCUAAAUACCGGCCAGAGACCGAUAGCGCACAAGUAGAGUGAUCGAAAGAUGAAAAGCACUUUGGAAAGAGAGUCAAACAGUACGUGAAAUUGUUGAAAGGGAAGCGCUUGCGACCAGACUUGCUCGCGGAGGAUCAGCCGCCCUUCGGGGUGGUGCACUCCCUCGCGGUCAGGCCAGCAUCGGUUUGGGCGGUCGGAUAAAGGCCCCGGGAACGUGGCUCCUCUCGGGGAGUGUUAUAGCCCGGGGUGCAAUGCGGCCAGCCUGGACCGAGGACCGCGCUUCGGCUAGGAUGCUGGCGUAAUGGUCGUCAGCGACCCGUCUUGAAACACGGACCAAGGAGUCUAACAUCCAUGCGAGUGUUUGGGUGUCAAGCCCAGGCGCGGAAUGAAAGUGAACGGAGGUGGGAGCCCUGGGGCGCACCAUCGACCGAUCCUGAUGUCUUCGGAUGGAUUUGAGUAGGAGCAUGGCUGUUGGGACCCGAAAGAUGGUGAACUAUGCCUGAAUAGGGUGAAGCCAGAGGAAACUCUGGUGGAGGCUCGCAGCGGUUCUGACGUGCAAAUCGAUCGUCAAAUUUGGGUAUAGGGGCGAAAGACUAAUCGAACCAUCUAGUAGCUGGUUUCAGCCGAAGUUUCCC
This 729-nucleotide ribosomal RNA is filed under the name Lepra scaberula. Its description in RNAcentral is "LSU rRNA". It matches the Rfam family "Eukaryotic large subunit ribosomal RNA", at positions 221 to 972 of the family's 3401-position model. Lineage: Eukaryota; Fungi; Ascomycota; Lecanoromycetes; Pertusariales; Pertusariaceae. The record is from RNAcentral.